Long non-coding RNA from Sander lucioperca (pikeperch), 145 nucleotides. RefSeq lists it as uncharacterized. The record is from RefSeq and is a predicted model, not a curated record. The transcript has 2 exons. NCBI's taxonomy places the organism in Eukaryota, Metazoa, Chordata, Actinopteri, Perciformes, Percidae.
GCGCUGGUGUGUGCGUCGAGCCGGCGUGUGUGUGUGUGUCGAGGGAGAACUGAGAGAGUGACAGCGAUUAGCUUUGGAGAGAGUACCAACUCUAGAGUCAUAGUGAGAGAAACAAAGUGUCUCCCCUGUUCUUUCUGACCACGGU